RNAcentral lists this ribosomal RNA (2351 nucleotides) under Listeria monocytogenes. Its description in RNAcentral is "partial 23S ribosomal RNA". It matches the Rfam family "Bacterial large subunit ribosomal RNA", at positions 579 to 2925 of the family's 2925-position model. The record is from RNAcentral. Lineage: Bacteria; Bacillati; Bacillota; Bacilli; Caryophanales; Listeriaceae.
GCCCGUUAAUGGGUGAUAGCGUGCCUUUUGUAGAAUGAACCGGCGAGUUACGAUUUGUUGCAAGGUUAAGCGGAAAAAGCGGAGCCGUAGCGAAAGCGAGUCUGAAUAGGGCGCAUAAGUAACAGGUCGUAGACCCGAAACCAGGUGAUCUACCCAUGUCCAGGAUGAAGGUAAGGUAAUACUUACUGGAGGUCCGAACCCACGCACGUUGAAAAGUGCGGGGAUGAGGUGUGGGUAGCGGAGAAAUUCCAAUCGAACUUGGAGAUAGCUGGUUCUCUCCGAAAUAGCUUUAGGGCUAGCCUCGAGGUAAAGAGUCAUGGAGGUAGAGCACUGUUUGGACUAGGGGCCCUUCUCGGGUUACCGAAUUCAGAUAAACUCCGAAUGCCAUGUACUUAUACUCGGGAGUCAGACUGCGAGUGAUAAGAUCCGUAGUCGAAAGGGAAACAGCCCAGACCACCAGUUAAGGUCCCCAAAUAUAUGUUAAGUGGAAAAGGAUGUGGGGUUGCUUAGACAACCAGGAUGUUGGCUUAGAAGCAGCCACCAUUGAAAGAGUGCGUAAUAGCUCACUGGUCGAGUGACCCCGCGCCGAAAAUGUACCGGGGCUAAACAUAUUACCGAAACUGUGGAUGAACCUCUUUAGAGGUUCGUGGUAGGAGAGCGUUCUAAGGGCGGUGAAGUCAGACCGGAAGGACUGGUGGAGCGCUUAGAAGUGAGAAUGCCGGUAUGAGUAGCGAAAGAAGGGUGAGAAUCCCUUCCACCGAAUAUCUAAGGUUUCCUGAGGAAGGCUCGUCCGCUCAGGGUUAGUCGGGACCUAAGCCGAGGCCGAUAGGCGUAGGCGAUGGACAACAGGUAGAGAUUCCUGUACCAGUGCUAAUUGUUUAACCGAUGGGGUGACACAGAAGGAUAGGGAAUCGCACGAAUGGAAAUGUGCGUCCAAGCAGUGAGUGUGAGAAGUAGGCAAAUCCGCUUCUCGCGAAGCAUGAGCUGUGAUGGGGAAGGAAAUUAAGUACGGAAGUUCCUGAUUUCACGCUGUCAAGAAAAGCCUCUAGGAAGAGUAGUACUGCCCGUACCGCAAACCGACACAGGUAGAUGAGGAGAGAAUCCUAAGGUGAGCGAGAGAACUCUCGUUAAGGAACUCGGCAAAAUGACCCCGUAACUUCGGGAGAAGGGGUGCUCUAUUAGGGUGCAAGCCCGAGAGAGCCGCAGUGAAUAGGCCCAGGCGACUGUUUAGCAAAAACACAGGUCUCUGCAAAACCGUAAGGUGACGUAUAGGGGCUGACGCCUGCCCGGUGCUGGAAGGUUAAGAGGAGUGCUUAGCUUCGGCGAAGGUACGAAUUGAAGCCCCAGUAAACGGCGGCCGUAACUAUAACGGUCCUAAGGUAGCGAAAUUCCUUGUCGGGUAAGUUCCGACCCGCACGAAAGGCGCAACGAUCUGGGCACUGUCUCAACGAGAGACUCGGUGAAAUUAUAGUACCUGUGAAGAUGCAGGUUACCCGCGACAGGACGGAAAGACCCCGUGGAGCUUUACUGCAACCUGAUAUGGAAUGUUUGUACCGCUUGUACAGGAUAGGUAGGAGCCGAAGAGACGUGUGCGCUAGCAUACGAGGAGGCAAUGGUGGGAUACUACCCUGGCUGUAUGACCAUUCUAACCCGCCACGCUUAGCGCGUGGGGAGACAGUGUCAGGUGGGCAGUUUGACUGGGGCGGUCGCCUCCUAAAGAGUAACGGAGGCGCCCAAAGGUUCCCUCAGAAUGGAUGGAAAUCAUUCGCAGAGUGUAAAGGCACAAGGGAGCUUGACUGCGAGACUGACAAGUCGAGCAGGGACGAAAGUCGGGCUUAGUGAUCCGGUGGUUCCGCAUGGAAGGGCCAUCGCUCAACGGAUAAAAGCUACCCCGGGGAUAACAGGCUUAUCUCCCCCAAGAGUCCACAUCGACGGGGAGGUUUGGCACCUCGAUGUCGGCUCGUCGCAUCCUGGGGCUGUAGUCGGUCCCAAGGGUUGGGCUGUUCGCCCAUUAAAGCGGCACGCGAGCUGGGUUCAGAACGUCGUGAGACAGUUCGGUCCCUAUCCGUCGCGGGCGCAGGAAAUUUGAGAGGAGCUGUCCUUAGUACGAGAGGACCGGGAUGGACACACCGCUGGUGUACCAGUUGUUCCGCCAGGAGCAUCGCUGGGUAGCUAUGUGUGGCAGGGAUAAACGCUGAAAGCAUCUAAGCGUGAAGCCCCCCUCAAGAUGAGAUUUCCCAUUUCUUCGGAAAGUAAGAUCCCUGAAAGAUGAUCAGGUAGAUAGGUUUGGAGUGGAAGUGUAGCGAUACAUGGAGCGGACAAAUACUAAUCGAUCGAGGACUUAACCAAAA